RNAcentral lists this long non-coding RNA (1148 nucleotides) under Danio rerio (zebrafish). Its description in RNAcentral is "lncRNA si:dkey-273g18.4 (ENSDARG00000097778.2)". Lineage: Eukaryota; Metazoa; Chordata; Actinopteri; Cypriniformes; Danionidae. The record is from RNAcentral.
GGCUUGUAGACGGAAGACAGUGAAUGGAGAGUAGAGAGUGUGACACUGUUUUGAGUUUUGUAUUUUAAAGUUUAAAAACAAAUUUUUGUUGAAGUUUCUGGUUUUACAAAGACCUAACAUACACAUUAUCACAUCUGUCGAUCGAUGGACAUUUUUUGCUGUUAAACGUUCAGUGCGAGGGAGUGAAAGUUGUUGGACCUGCCGCGGACGGGAAGAUUGACUGGAGAGAGACCGAGACUUUGCUGAUCGUGCCUGUUUGCAUCGUGAACGGAGGAUUCGUGAAGGCGGUUAUACAACUCAUCUUCGUGAGCGCGGACGAACGUUUGUAGACUUCGCCAUUUCAUCGGAUUUUACUCAAAUGAAGUGGAACCGCAGAUGAGAGACUCUUCUGCCGUCCUAUCUCUCUAGGGAGCAGGAGAGGGAGCCUUUUCCAUGAAACCUUUUCAAAGCCUCAUCUGUGUCUUCCAUUAGCCAUGCAGAACGAGAAGAAAGCAAGACGCCCGCAUAAAACACACCUUUUCUGGUGUGAGGGGAAACACCAGAGACUCUGAUCAAAUGUAAUGUAAUAAUUUAGCACACAUUUGGGCUACCCUGCCUGUUGCUUUCUUUUUAUUGGAGAGAUGGUUAUGAUUGCUCAAUGACUUGAUUUGAUUAUUUGCUUGGGAUACAGCGGUCUCCAUUACUAUUGACACCCUUGCUUAAUAUAAGCAAAGAAUGCCAGGGAGAAAAUGUUUUGUUCAACCUAUUGGUUUUUUAGCUCAAAAUAAUACCAAUUAUACUGACGAUGCUUGAGCUUGUUGACAGUAGAGGCUUUUUUUUUUCUUGAAAGCCAUUCUAAUAACUUAUAAUAAUGUACAGUAGGUGACAUUGAUUGUAGUUUUUAUGACUUUGACUCUUAGUCCUAAGUAAUUUCUGCAGUUCUCCACCUGUGAUUCUUAGAGGUUUUUGGCCACUCAAACCAUCCUUCUCAACUAUAUUUAGACCAAGCUGCAAUCUCCCGCUCUCUUUCGUGAAGCAAAUAUGGAAGCAACUGAAACUGCUAUUCAUCGAAAUUCCGCUUGUCUUGGCUCCAUGAAUUUUACAGCAGAAAAAAAGGUGUUUACAGCCUGGUAUGAAGAAUGAUUUUGGUUCAGAUAGCUAAUAUUACC